Long non-coding RNA from Pistacia vera, 174 nucleotides. RefSeq lists it as uncharacterized. The record is from RefSeq and is a predicted model, not a curated record. The transcript has 3 exons. NCBI's taxonomy places the organism in Eukaryota, Viridiplantae, Streptophyta, Magnoliopsida, Sapindales, Anacardiaceae.
AAAAAAAAAAAAAAAAAUCUAAAGUUGCAAUUGCUGAAGAAGGAAAGGAAGAUUGAAGCCGCUGAAGUUUCUGUUAUUCAAUCGGAAAUAAGUAAGAAUUCAUCCAUCAGUUGCUGCCGCACCCUUGAAGUUGAGAGAAUCGUUUGCAAAACCAGCUUGUCUUCCAUGAGCAUC